This 882-nucleotide ribosomal RNA is filed under the name uncultured Actinomycetes bacterium. RNAcentral describes it as "bacterial SSU rRNA". It matches the Rfam family "Bacterial small subunit ribosomal RNA", at positions 43 to 897 of the family's 1533-position model. Lineage: Bacteria; Bacillati; Actinomycetota; Actinomycetes. The record is from RNAcentral.
CAGGCCUAACACAUGCAAGUCGAGCGCAGGAAGCUCACGGAACUCUUCGGAGGGAAGUGAAGGGAAUGAGCGGCGGACGGGUGAGUAACACGUAAGGAACCUGCCCCAAGGAUUGGGAUAACUCCGAGAAAUCGGAGCUAAUACCGAAUAGUUCUUCAGACCGCAUGGUCUGAUGAUGAAAGGCGCUCCGGCGUCACCUUGGGAUGGCCUUGCGGUGCAUUAGCUAGUUGGUGGGGUAAUGGCCCACCAAGGCGACGAUGCAUAACCGACCUGAGAGGGUGAUCGGCCACACUGGGACUGAGACACGGCCCAGACUCCUACGGGAGGCAGCAGUAGGGAAUCUUCCACAAUGGACGAAAGUCUGAUGGAGCAACGCCGCGUGAGUGAUGAAGGUUUUCGGAUCGUAAAACUCUGUUGUAAGGGAAGAACAGGUAUGAGAGGUAAUGCUCAUGCUAUGACGGUACCUUGCGAGAAAGCCACGGCUAACUACGUGCCAGCAGCCGCGGUAAUACGUAGGUGGCAAGCGUUGUCCGGAAUUAUUGGGCGUAAAGCGCGCGCAGGCGGCCUUUUAAGUCUGAUGUGAAAGCCCCCGGCUCAACCGGGGAGGGUCAUUGGAAACUGGAAGGCUUGAGUACAGAAGAGAAGAGUGGAAUUCCAUGUGUAGCGGUGAAAUGCGUAGAGAUGUGGAGGAACACCAGUGGCGAAGGCGACUCUUUGGUCUGUAACUGACGCUGAGGCGCGAAACCGGGGGAGCGAACAGGAUUAGAUACCCUGGUAGUCCACGCCGUAAACGAUGAGUGCUAGGUGUUGGGGGGUUUCCGCCCCUCAGUGCUGAAGCUAACGCAUUAAGCACUCCGCCUGGGGGRUKASGGCCGCAAGUGR